RNAcentral lists this ribosomal RNA (497 nucleotides) under uncultured bacterium. Its description in RNAcentral is "partial 16S ribosomal RNA". It matches the Rfam family "Bacterial small subunit ribosomal RNA", at positions 28 to 507 of the family's 1533-position model. The record is from RNAcentral.
GACGAACGCUGGCGGCGUGCCUAAUACAUGCAAGUCGAGCGAUGAAGAUUGGUGCUUGCACCAAUAUGAAGAGCAGCGAACGGGUGAGUAACGCGUGGGGAAUCUGCCUUUGAGCGGGGGACAACAUUUGGAAACGAAUGCUAAUACCGCAUAACAACUUUAAACAUAAGUUUUAAGUUUGAAAGAUGCAAUUGCAUCACUCAAAGAUGAUCCCGCGUUGUAUUAGCUAGUUGGUGAGGUAAAGGCUCACCAAGGCGAUGAUACAUAGCCGACCUGGGAGGGUGAUCGGCCACAUUGGGACGGAGACACGGCCCAAACUCCUACGGGAGGCAGCAGUAGGGAAUCUUCGGCAAUGGACGAAAGUCUGACCGAGCAACGCCGCGUGAGUGAAGAAGGGUUUCGGAUCGUAAAACUCUGUUGGUAGAGAAGAACGUUGGUGAGAGUGGAAAGCUCAUCAAGUGACGGUAACUACCCAGAAAGGGACGGCUAACUACGUG